Non-coding RNA from Triticum aestivum (bread wheat), 92 nucleotides. The record is from Rfam. NCBI's taxonomy places the organism in Eukaryota, Viridiplantae, Streptophyta, Magnoliopsida, Poales, Poaceae.
CUUAUACUCCCUCCGUCCGGAAAUACUUGUCAUUGAAAUGAAUGUACAUCUCCAUUUCAAUGACAAGUAUUUUCGGACGGAGGAAGUAUUUA